This 2474-nucleotide long non-coding RNA is filed under the name Sus scrofa (pig). RNAcentral's name for it is "lncRNA (ENSSSCG00055006069.1)". The record is from RNAcentral. Lineage: Eukaryota; Metazoa; Chordata; Mammalia; Artiodactyla; Suidae.
UCCAUUUCUUCCAGGUUUUCCAAUUUAUUGGCAUAUGGUCACAUAUAGUAGUCUGAUAUGAUCCUUUGUAUUUCUGUGAUGUCCAUUGUAACUUCUCCUUUUUCAUUUCUAAUUUUAUUGAUUUGAGUCCUCUCUCCUUUUUUCUUGAUAAGUCUGACUAAGGGUUUAUCAAUUUUGUUGAUCUUUUCAAAGAACCAGCUUUUCGUUUCAUUGAUCUUUUCUAUGGUUUUCUUCAUUUCUAUUUCAUUGAUUUCUGUUCUGAUCUUUAUGAUUUCUUUCCUUCUGUUAACUUUAGGUCUUGCCUGUUCUCUCUUGAGCUGCUUUAGAUGUAAAGUUAGCUUGUUUAUUUGAGCUUUUUCUUGUUUCCUGAUGUGGGUUUGUAUUGCUAUAAACUUCCCUCUUAGAACUGCUUCUGCUGCAUCCCGUAGGUUUUGGAGUGUCAUAUCUUUGUUGUCAUCUGCUUAUAGGUAUUUUUUAAUUUCCUCUUUGAUUUCUUCAGUGAUCCAUUGGUUGUUUAGUAGCAUGUUGUUUAGUCUCCAUCUUUCUCUUCAAGUAGAUAAUUGGUCAUACUCAGGAAUACCCAACCAAAAUUGCAUUAUUUCUGCUACAGGGACAAUACUCAAGUCUGAAGCUGUGAGUCAAAUGAAAUCAAAACAAAAGCAAACAAAAGUCAGAAAAACAUCUCAUUAGAAGUCUGCUGAAAGAACAAAUUUCAAUUCUGUUGUAAGAUUCAUUUGUGGAGAAUAUUUAUAGUCUCUAUUUCUAAAUCCAACUUUAUAAAAGAAAGCAAAUACUCUACUCCCAGUAGUACUUUUUUUAAAUCAGAGACACCUUAUCCUCAGGUAACUUAUAGUUAACGAGCUUCUAUCUCUCAUACUUCAUCUUGUUCAGAGCUCUGGGCAGUCAGUGUUUGGGUUUUGCCUCUUACAUGUUUUCUCCCUGGAAAUCUAAUUGUUGGAAGAAACAUGCAAAGCCAGUACAUUGUACUGUGUAGAGAUUUCAUUAUUGAGCCAUCUUGUGAAGAAUAUUGGAGUCUAUCUUAAAUUUUGUAGAGCUAACACAUAAAUGGAACACAGAGAAUGGAAAAAUGGAGAACAGGUCAGUGACUGGUUUAAAAAUAGCAAGUAUUCCCUCACCUGGUAGCCCUGAACAUUCUAGAGGUGAAGAGAUUGUGUGUUUCUUGUGGGUUAUAAUUGUCUGGGUUAUAAUUCAAGAAUUGUUAGUACUAAAGAGAGCUCAAAAGGUCCAUUUUUGUACUCACUGUGAAUACUUGGUCCUGGGAGGGUAUUCAUAAGCCUGGUUUGGCGAUCGGUUUUUGUGAUUAUCUGUGCUUCAAACCCAAACCAGGGCUCUGAAGGAGAGCUUAUAUGAGGUCACAGAAGGCAGCAGCAGCAGGAUCUGUCCCAGGCACUUGGGGCUCAUUUGUAUGGAUGCACUGAUGCUAUGGGAGCUGCAUACAUCAAAGCUGCUGCAGUCCCUAUCACAGAGCCUCAUGGAAAACGGGAUUGUUCUGCAGCUUUGCUUUCCCAUCAGAGUUCCACUUCAUAAUCUAAUGCCCUUUAACUAGAGAGGAUCUGGGACAAAGAGAGCUAAAUGUACAAAGCAAAGAACAGUUUAAGUACAGCGCUCAGAAAUCAUUGGCAGCUUAGGGUAAGAUAAAGUCCCACAGUGGUAACAAAUCAUAGCAUCUUAGCUCUGGCAGGAACCUUGAAAGGUCAUGCAGAUCAUCUUCAAAACUUAAACCAUUUCAGAUGUAUAAGAACUGAUUCUAUGUUUUAGGACCUCCAGAAGGAAAAUUACACAGCUCGCUUUGAAACAUGUUCUGAUAUAUAGUACCUUUUUCACUGUUUUGUAAGUUCAUUCUUCAGUGAACCCAGGUCAGUCCUAUUGCAGUUAAAAUUAAUUUUUAUCUGUUCAUUCUUUAGUGGAGAUGUGUAAUGACUAGUCAGUAUCCAUUAUGUAAAAGUCCCUUAAGAUCAGCCAUGGUUAAUUUGUACCUCCACUUUCUUUUCAGUAACAAAAAUCUGUUUCCUUACAUGUUUUUCUAUGGCCUGCUUUUUUUUUUUAGCCUCUUACUUAUUAUUGCUUUCAACAUCUCCUCCAAGUUCUCCAUGUCAGUCUUUGGUUAUAAUGUCUGAACUGGAUCCAGUGCUGUAGAAAUAUCUGAUAAGUACUUAAUACAAUGAGAAACUCACCUCAUGAUUCCUAAAUACAGUGUUUUUUGCUUUACACAGUGGUGUGAGACUGUAAAAAUGACUAUGCAGGCUGAGUUUGGAGCAUAGGGGUCUUAAUAAUCAGUGGGAAAAUAAUGGUACAUAAACAUAUGUCAAAAUUUUUAAAGCACUAUUCCUGUUAGUUAUACAUGUAUAGAGAAAUUAAAAACACAGUCAACCUAAUACUAGUAUACCGUGGUGUAGGCCAGCAGCUGCAGUUCCAAUUCAACCCCUAGCCCAGGAACUUCCAUAUGCUGCAGG